UACGAAGGGGGCUAGCGUUGCUCGGAAUCACUGGGCGUAAAGCGCACGUAGGCGGAUCUUUAAGUCAGGGGUGAAAUCCCAAGGCUCAACCUUGGAACUGCCUUUGAUACUGGGGAUCUCGAGUCCGGAAGAGGUGAGUGGAACUGCGAGUGUAGAGGUGAAAUUCGUAGAUAUUCGCAAGAACACCAGUGGCGAAGGCGGCUCACUGGUCCGGUACUGACGCUGAGGUGCGAAAGCGUGGUGAGCAAACAGG
RNAcentral lists this ribosomal RNA (253 nucleotides) under uncultured bacterium. Its description in RNAcentral is "partial 16S ribosomal RNA". It matches the Rfam family "Bacterial small subunit ribosomal RNA", at positions 524 to 776 of the family's 1533-position model. The record is from RNAcentral.